RNAcentral lists this ribosomal RNA (468 nucleotides) under uncultured bacterium. RNAcentral's name for it is "partial 16S ribosomal RNA". It matches the Rfam family "Bacterial small subunit ribosomal RNA", at positions 28 to 507 of the family's 1533-position model. The record is from RNAcentral.
GACGAACGCUGGCGGCGUGCUUAACACAUGCAAGUCGAACGGAAAGGCCCUGCUUUUGUGGGGUGCUCGAGUGGCGAACGGGUGAGUAACACGUGAGUAACCUGCCCUUGACUUUGGGAUAACUUCAGGAAACUGGGGCUAAUACCGGAUAGGAGCUCCUGCUGCAUGGUGGGGGUUGGAAAGUUUCGGCGGUUGGGGAUGGAUGCGCGGCUUAUCAGCUUGUUGGUGGGGUAGUGGCUUACCAAGGCUUUGACGGGUAGCCGGCCUGUGAGGGUGACCGGCGACAUUGGGACUGAGGGACGGACCAGACUCCUACGGGAGGCAGCAGUGGGGAAUAUUGCACAAUGGGCGGAAGCCGGAUGCAGAAACGCCGCGUGCGGGAUGACGGCCUUCGGGUUGUAAACCGCUUUCGCCUGUGACGAAGCGUGAGUGACGGUAAUGGGUAAAGAAGCACCGGCUAACUACGUG